AAAUAGAUACCUAAUUCUGAUGAUUUACAAGGUGAAAUAUAGAAAUCUGUUGAAUUCAAAAACUUCUGGACAAGAAUAAUUACUUAACCACUGGGCCUGUAUAAAAUAGAAACAAGCGGAAUUCAGUUACUUUCCAACAGUUUGCCCAUUUCAAAGCUCUUGGCUUUCUAGAAAACUCAUAAGGUAUAUAGGGAAUCAACCGAAGAAGUGAAUUUGAAAUAUCUGAUAUUUCUUGGAAUGAAAAUUUAUCAGGUGGUUUUCCAUUCAUCCAUAUAUUUACAAUCAUUUUUUUCGAACAUGAAAAGUAGCCUGUAUGCCCUGUGGUAUAUUUUAUUAAAGCUUUUGCAGGAACAUCA
Leptinotarsa decemlineata (Colorado potato beetle) is the source of this 356-nucleotide long non-coding RNA. The record is from RefSeq and is a predicted model, not a curated record. NCBI's taxonomy places the organism in Eukaryota, Metazoa, Arthropoda, Insecta, Coleoptera, Chrysomelidae.